GAUGAACGCUGGCGGCGUGCCUAAUACAUGCAAGUCGAGCGAACGGACGAGAAGCUUGCUUUUCUGAUGUUAGCGGCGGACGGGUGAGUAACACGUGGAUAACCUACCUAUAAGACUGGGAUAACUUCGGGAAACCGGAGCUAAUACCGGAUAAUAUUUUGAACCGCAUGGUUCAAAAGUGAAAGACGGUCUUGCUGUCACUUAUAGAUGGAUCCGCGCUGCAUUAGCUAGUUGGUAAGGUAACGGCUUACCAAGGCAACGAUGCAUAGCCGACCUGAGAGGGUGAUCGGCCACACUGGAACUGAGACACGGUCCAGACUCCUACGGGAGGCAGCAGUAGGGAAUCUUCCGCAAUGGGCGAAAGCCUGGCGGAGCAACGCCGCGUGAGUGAUGAAGGUCUUCGGAUCGUAAAACUCUGUUAUUAGGGAAGAACAUAUGUGUAAGUAACUGUGCACAUCUUGACGGUACCUAAUCAGAAGGCCACGGCUAACUACGUG
This 497-nucleotide ribosomal RNA is filed under the name uncultured bacterium. RNAcentral's name for it is "partial 16S ribosomal RNA". It matches the Rfam family "Bacterial small subunit ribosomal RNA", at positions 28 to 507 of the family's 1533-position model. The record is from RNAcentral.